RNAcentral lists this ribosomal RNA (256 nucleotides) under uncultured bacterium. RNAcentral describes it as "partial 16S ribosomal RNA". It matches the Rfam family "Bacterial small subunit ribosomal RNA", at positions 15 to 271 of the family's 1533-position model. The record is from RNAcentral.
GAUUAUGGCUCAGGAUAAACGCCGGCGGCGUGCCUAAUACAUGCAAGUCGAACGAGGGGAGCAAUCCCCGAGUGGCGUACGGGUGAGUAACACGUUGGUAACCUGCCCUCCGGACCGGAAUACCAGGCGGAAACGCCUGCUAAUGCCGGAUGAAGCCGCAGAGGCGAAAGCCUCCGCGAUGAAAGGCGGCCUCAAAGCCGCGCCGGGGGAUGGACCUGCGUCGCAUUAGCUAGUUGGCGGGAUAAAGGCCCACCAA